CUGGUCUGGGACGGAAGAUUCGAACCUCCGAAUAGCGGACCAAACCCGAUGCCUUACCUUGGGCCACGCCAAA
RNAcentral lists this transfer RNA (73 nucleotides) under Suaeda aralocaspica. RNAcentral describes it as "partial tRNA-Gln". The record is from RNAcentral. Lineage: Eukaryota; Viridiplantae; Streptophyta; Magnoliopsida; Caryophyllales; Amaranthaceae.